GCUGCCGUAGCUCAGUCAGCAGAGCGGCUGAUUCGUACUCAGCAGGUCGUGGGUGCAAAUCCUACCGGCAGCUCCA
This 76-nucleotide transfer RNA is filed under the name Bacteroidetes bacterium ADurb.BinA104. Its description in RNAcentral is "tRNA-Thr". It matches the Rfam family "tRNA". From Rfam's summary of the family: Transfer RNA (tRNA) molecules are approximately 80 nucleotides in length. Their secondary structure includes four short double-helical elements and three loops (D, anti-codon, and T loops). The record is from RNAcentral. Lineage: Bacteria; Pseudomonadati; Bacteroidota.